This 459-nucleotide unclassified non-coding RNA is filed under the name uncultured Bordetella sp. RNAcentral's name for it is "partial 16S-23S ribosomal RNA intergenic spacer". It matches the Rfam family "Bacterial small subunit ribosomal RNA", at positions 339 to 791 of the family's 1533-position model. Lineage: Bacteria; Pseudomonadati; Pseudomonadota; Betaproteobacteria; Burkholderiales; Alcaligenaceae. The record is from RNAcentral.
UCACGGGACGCAGCAGUGGGGAAUUUGGGUAAUGGGGGAAACCCUGAUCCGCUCAUCCUGCGUGUGCGAUGGCGAAGGCUUCGCUGUAAAGCACUUUUUGGCAGGAGGGGUAAGAAAACGGCACGAUAAUACCCGUGCAACUGACGGUACCUGCAGAAUAAGCACUGGCUAACUACGUGCCAGCAGCCGCGGUAAUACGUAGGGUGCAAGCGUUAAUCGGAAUUACUGGGCGUAAAGCGUGCAGGCGGUUCGGAAAGAAAGAUGUGAAAUCCCAGAGCUUAACUUGGAAUCCGCAUUUUUAACUACCGAGCUAGAGUGUGUCAGAGGGAGGUGGAACGCGUGUAGUAGUGAAAUGUAGAUAUGGAGGAAAACAUCGAUGGCGAAGGCAGCCUUCCGGGAGAUAAUAUCGAUGUCACUAUGCACGAAAGCGUGGGGAGCAAACAGGAUUAGAUACCUGCA